RNAcentral lists this ribosomal RNA (301 nucleotides) under uncultured bacterium. Its description in RNAcentral is "partial 16S ribosomal RNA". It matches the Rfam family "Bacterial small subunit ribosomal RNA", at positions 509 to 807 of the family's 1533-position model. The record is from RNAcentral.
CAGCCGCCGCGGUAACACAGAGGGUGCAAGCGUUAAUCGGAAUUACUGGGCGUAAAGCGCGCGUAGGUGGUUCGUUAAGUUGGAUGUGAAAUCCCCGGGUUCAACCUGGGAACUGCAUCCAAAACUGGCGAGCUAGAGUAGGGCAGAGGGUGGUGGAAUUUCCUGUGUAGCGGUGAAAUGCGUAGAUAUAGGAAGGAACACCAGUGGCGAAGGCGACCACCUGGGCUCAUACUGACACUGAGGUGCGAAAGCGUGGGGAGCAAACAGGAUUAGAUACCCCCGUAGUCCCUGUCUCUUAUAC